RNAcentral lists this ribosomal RNA (493 nucleotides) under uncultured bacterium. RNAcentral's name for it is "bacterial SSU rRNA". It matches the Rfam family "Bacterial small subunit ribosomal RNA", at positions 28 to 507 of the family's 1533-position model. The record is from RNAcentral.
GAUGAACGCUAGCGGCAGGCUUAAUACAUGCAAGUUGAGGGGCAGCAUGAUAUACGCGAGUAUAUUGAUGGCGACCGGCGGACGGGUGAGUAAUAGGUAGGAGACCUACCUCAUACAGGGGGAUAGCAUAGAGAAAUCUGUGGUAAUACCCCAUGAGGUUAUAUGAAUAGAGGCAUAUAAUCAAAGCAUAAGCGAUUAUGCGGUAUGAGAGGGGCCUACUGACCAUUAGCUAGUUGGUGAGGUAAGGGCUCACCAAGGCGAAGAUGGUUAGGGGUUUUGAGAGAGAGACCCCCCACAUUGGAACUGAGAGACGGUCCAGACUCCUACGGGAGGCAGCAGUAGGGAAUAUUGGGCAAUGGGCGAAAGCCUGACCCAGCCAUGCCGCGUGAAGGAAGACGGCCUUAUGGGUUUAAACUUCUUUACUACGCGAAUAGAGGUUAGUACGAGAUACUAAUAGGAAGGUAGUGUAGUAAAAGCACCGGCUAACUCCGUG